This 558-nucleotide ribosomal RNA is filed under the name Bifidobacterium pseudocatenulatum. RNAcentral's name for it is "bacterial SSU rRNA". It matches the Rfam family "Bacterial small subunit ribosomal RNA", at positions 146 to 714 of the family's 1533-position model. Lineage: Bacteria; Bacillati; Actinomycetota; Actinomycetes; Bifidobacteriales; Bifidobacteriaceae. The record is from RNAcentral.
UCUCCUGGAAAACGGGUGGUAAUGCCGGAUGCUCCGACUCCUCGCAUGGGGUGUCGGGAAAGAUUUCAUCGGUAUGGGAUGGGGUCGCGUCCUAUCAGGUAGUCGGCGGGGUAACGGCCCACCGAGCCUACGACGGGUAGCCGGCCUGAGAGGGCGACCGGCCACAUUGGGACUGAGAUACGGCCCAGACUCCUACGGGAGGCAGCAGUGGGGAAUAUUGCACAAUGGGCGCAAGCCUGAUGCAGCGACGCCGCGUGCGGGAUGACGGCCUUCGGGUUGUAAACCGCUUUUGAUCGGGAGCAAGCCUUCGGGUGAGUGUACCUUUCGAAUAAGCACCGGCUAACUACGUGCCAGCAGCCGCGGUAAUACGUAGGGUGCAAGCGUUAUCCGGAAUUAUUGGGCGUAAAGGGCUCGUAGGCGGUUCGUCGCGUCCGGUGUGAAAGUCCAUCGCUUAACGGUGGAUCUGCGCCGGGUACGGGCGGGCUGGAGUGCGGUAGGGGAGACUGGAAUUCCCGGUGUAACGGUGGAAUGUGUAGAUAUCGGAAAAGAACACCAGGC